GCCAUAGAUCCCUUCUCUUUGGGGAAUUCAAAUACGGUAUACUUAGAUCUCUUUCCAUCCUCAUCUGAAGGAUGAUUUGGUCUUUAAUGGCAUCCCAAUAAACUGCUUGAUUAGAUUUCCAGUUCCGUGCCAGAACAAUUUUAAAUGCAACAAGACAAUGAAUUAUAAAACAACUAUUUAUAUAUGACAUAUUCGGCCAGUGCAUAUGUAACAAGACUACCUCUGGUUUCUUUUCUAAUUCUAUUCCAGUGUUAUCUUUAAUAAAUCCUAUCGUUCUCUUAAUAGAGGUCUGAAUGUUUAAACAACUCCACCAAAUGUGGAGAAAUGAACCUUCCUCUUUAUCGCAUCUCCAACAUCUAGAGGUGACUCCAGGGUACAUCUGAGAAAGCUUGCUAGGAACCAAAUACCAUCUAUACAUAACCUUGUAAUAAGUUUCUAAUAAAUUUAAACAUUGAACCUGUCGACGAGUAUUAUUUAUAGCUUUACACCAAUCUUCUUGUUCUAAGGAACACUUCAGAUCUUUUUCCCAUUUGGUCCUCUGGGGGAAAUUAACUACCUCAUUAGUAUUUCUAGUUAUCUCUAUUGCUUUAGCUAAGACUUUCGGUAUAUUCUGAUUUGAAAAUAUGCGUUUUAUCAAUUUAUGCGCUUUUCCAGAAUC
This is a non-coding RNA of Pelobates cultripes (western spadefoot toad), 658 nucleotides long. The record is from the annotation of a GenBank genome assembly. Lineage: Eukaryota; Metazoa; Chordata; Amphibia; Anura; Pelobatidae.